GGAGGGUUGGUCCGAGUGGUUUAAGGCGCGAAACUCGAAAUUUCGUCCCGCUUGCGGGAACACAGGUUCGAAUCCUGUACCCUCCG
Molecule: transfer RNA, 86 nt
Filed under: Candidatus Levyibacteriota bacterium
Lineage: Bacteria; Candidatus Levyibacteriota
Description: tRNA-Ser
Rfam family: tRNA
About the family: Transfer RNA (tRNA) molecules are approximately 80 nucleotides in length. Their secondary structure includes four short double-helical elements and three loops (D, anti-codon, and T loops). Further hydrogen bonds mediate the characteristic L-shaped molecular structure. tRNAs have two regions of fundamental functional importance: the anti-codon, which is responsible for specific mRNA codon recognition, and the 3' end, to which the tRNAs corresponding amino acid is attached (by aminoacyl-tRNA synthetases). tRNAs cope with the degeneracy of the genetic code in two manners: having more than one tRNA (with a specific anti-codon) for a particular amino acid; and 'wobble' base-pairing, i.e. permitting non-standard base-pairing at the 3rd anti-codon position.
Source: RNAcentral